AUUGAACGCUGGCGGCAUGCCUUACACAUGCAAGUCGAACGGCAGCACGGGAGCAAUCCUGGUGGCGAGUGGCGAACGGGUGAGUAAUAUAUCGGAACGUGCCCAGUCGUGGGGGAUAACGUAGCGAAAGCUACGCUAAUACCGCAUACGAUCUAUGGAUGAAAGCGGGGGAUCGCAAGACCUCGCGCGAUUGGAGCGGCCGAUAUCAGAUUAGCUAGUUGGUGGGGUAAAAGCUCACCAAGGCGACGAUCUGUAGCUGGUCUGAGAGGACGACCAGCCACACUGGAACUGAGACACGGUCCAGACUCCUACGGGAGGCAGCAGUGGGGAAUUUUGGACAAUGGGCGCAAGCCUGAUCCAGCAAUGCCGCGUGCAGGACGAAGGCCUUCGGGUUGUAAACUGCUUUUGUACGGAACGAAAAAGUCUGCCCUAAUACGGUGGGCCCAUGACGGUACCGUAAGAAUAAGCACCGGCUAACUACGUG
This 484-nucleotide ribosomal RNA is filed under the name uncultured bacterium. RNAcentral's name for it is "bacterial SSU rRNA". It matches the Rfam family "Bacterial small subunit ribosomal RNA", at positions 30 to 507 of the family's 1533-position model. The record is from RNAcentral.